CACUGGUACUGGUGGUGGUCUGCAUGGUGACUCUAUAAGACCUGUAGUUAUAAAACAAAACUUAAUGGUGUAAUACAUUUUAAGACAUAAUAUACAGCUGUAGGCAUAACUGAGAUUUUAAAUAUGUAGAUGCAGAAUUGUAAUAUUCUGAACACUGAAGUCACCAGUGUAUCACAGGUCUAUUAGGAGAGAAUGUAGUUUAAUUAAUUCACCUGAGAGUUGAGGCAGUCGUUCUUGAUGUUGUGGUGGAAGUGUAGGUUGAUGAGGCAGUCUUUCUUGAUGUUGUUGUGGUGGGAGUGUAGGUUGUUGAGGCAGUCGUUCUUGAUGUUGUUGUGGUGGGAGUGUAGGUUGUUGAUGUUGUUGUGGUGGGAGUGUAGGUUGUUGAUGUUGUUGUGGUAGGAGUGGAGGUUGCCGUGGUGGGAGUGGAGGUUGUUGAUGUUGCUGUGGUGGGAGUGGAGGUUGUUGACAUUAAGGUUGGGGUACUGGAGGGCCUGGAUAAGUUUACAGAUAUAAUGUUGGAAGUCAGGUCAUGUGCCUUCAUUAAA
Molecule: long non-coding RNA, 545 nt
Organism: Clupea harengus (Atlantic herring)
Lineage: Eukaryota; Metazoa; Chordata; Actinopteri; Clupeiformes; Clupeidae
Source: Ensembl